This 127-nucleotide non-coding RNA is filed under the name Chinchilla lanigera (long-tailed chinchilla). Lineage: Eukaryota; Metazoa; Chordata; Mammalia; Rodentia; Chinchillidae. The record is from RNAcentral.
GUCCUGUAUGAAAGGAAAGAAGGUUAGCCCUCCCCUUAACAAGGAUGGAAGAGACUCUGGGCCGCAUAACAUACAUAUGGUUAAAAUGUCAGACUAUUUUAGUGGAAGUGUCUAUAAACAUUUUGUU